UUCCUCUUCAGCUCCCUCGCGCACCGCACUGAUACCGGAGUCGGAAGAUGACGUCAUCUUCCGGCUCCGGCAUCAGUACGCGGCGCGCGAGGGAGCUGAAGA
RNAcentral lists this microRNA precursor (102 nucleotides) under Pelobates cultripes (western spadefoot toad). The record is from RNAcentral. Lineage: Eukaryota; Metazoa; Chordata; Amphibia; Anura; Pelobatidae.